AAGUAAAGAUGCUUUAGAGCAUUCACUGGUUAUUCAAUGCUUAAUAAUAACGGUAAUAAAUAAAAAUUUUUACAAGAGCAAUCCUGGAAGAAGCAUGAGAGGUAUCACAAAAUACAGCUCCUGGCUGAUGAAGCACCCUGUAACUGUGCAGGAAAGAGAGCAUGGUGUGACUGUACAAAAGCCCUUUAUUCCAACUACUGGAAGGAGUAGCUCAGACAUAUCCUUGGAGUACUGUCAGGUGAAAGAGUAACAGCAUUGAUCCAACCUCCUCCACCACUUUCUUUUUUUCCUAGUAGAUUCUCCUGAGGUGGCCCAAUUUCUGUCUUCUACUGGUAUUAUUAACUUGAGAAGUCUCCUUCUCUUCCCUAAUUUGUGGCUCAUGCUGGUGAAAUGAGCAAAAUCAGCUGUAGAUAAAUAACUCCUGUGACUUCUGUUUUCUGUCAGAGUGAGGUUAACAGCCCUCAGUCAUUGACAGCAUCAACACCUUGAUGGUUGUCAUAGGUUUACUUGUUCUAAAAAAACAGGCAGGAAAUUUUUCUUUCCCCUGCAUUGCUGUAAGGGGGGGAUGUUGAAAGGGGGAGGGUAGUUUUUGCCUUGGGUGAUUGACCCACACAAAAGAACUAACCAGCAGAUCCACAUUCCAAGCUGAUGGCCCUCCGAAGACUGGGGAGGGGUGAUGAGGUUUUUUUCCCUCUCCUCGGAAAUGGGAGGCACUUCACUUUUGCUCUGACUGUAGGGAGGGUGUGUGUUGGAGGGGUCCGAGGUUCACUUUGGUUUUGGCCUGGUCAUCUGGCUUGUUUUCUGGCCCCGGUGUGCCUCCGUUUUCCUGCGCCCUGUUCUGUCCCAGCUCAGAUCUGCUCGGAUUUCAUCGGAGAGGCUUGACCCACUUGCAGAGGAACCUUCUUGGGAGGAGGUUGCCCUUUCCCUCCUCCGUUCCCGUGUUGGCAGCGGCAUGUGUCCAUCGAGGAAAAGGGGGAAAUCCCGGCCACAGCCAGCCGCAAACAGCGGCUCAUUCUGGAAUGGAGAGGAUAGGCCAUGACAUCACAACGAGGCCCAUGGCACACGGGUGUGGCUGCUCUCUGCGGGUGUGGGUUGUUUGUUCUUUGUUUUCCAGAGGCCAUUACAGAAUGGAGAGGAUAGUCCGUGACAUCACAAAGGGGCUCAUACCACAGAGGUAAGGUUGCAAUGUGGGAGAGUGGGAUGUGUGUUCUUUGUAUUCCAGGGGCCUUUAGGAGCUGGAGAGGAUAGGCCGUGACAUCACAAAGAAGCCCAUGGCACACAGGUGAGGCUGCAUUCUGACAAUGUGGGGCGCUGGUUUUUGGGUUGACAGGGGCUAUUCUGGAAUGGAGAGGAUAGGCCAUGACAUCACAAAGUGGCCCAUGGCACACAGGUAAGAGUGCAAUGUGGAGGAGUGUUAUAUGUGUUCUUUGGUUUCUGGGGCCAUUCCAGAAUGGAGAGGAUAGGCUGUGACAUCACACAGGGGCCCAGGGCACACAGGUGGGGCUGCACUGUGAUAUUGUGAGGCGUUGGUUCUUUGGUUUCCAGGGGCCAUUCCCUAAUGGAUAGGAUAGACUAUUACAUCAGAAAGGAGCCUAAGGCACACAGGUGGGGCUGCCAUGUGUUAGUGUGGGGCAUUGAUUCUUUGGUUUCCUGGGGCCUUGCAGAAUGGAGAGGAUAAGCUGUGACAUCACAAAGGGGUGCCAGUUACAUGGGUUGGGCUGCUCUGUGGGGUGUGAGGUGCUGCCUCUUUGGUUGCCAGGGACAUUCUGGAAUGAUGGCAGUAGGCCGUGACAUCAAAAAGGGGCCCAUGAUACAUGGAUGGAGCUGCACUGUGCCACUGUGGGGUGUUUGUUCUUUGGUUGCAAGGGGCAAUUCCGGAAUGGAAAGUGUAGUUUGUGACAUCACAGUGAGGCCCAUGGUACACAGGUGGGGCUGUACUGUGGGGGAAUGCAGUGUUCCUUCUUUGGUUGCCAGUGUCAAUAGUCAAAUGAAGAUGCUAGGCCGUGACAUCACAAAGGUGCCCAUGGCACAUGGGUGGGGCUGUACUCUGGGGGUUUGUGGUGCUGGUUCUUUGGCUGAAAAGGGCCAUUCCGGAAUGGGGAGGACAGGUCGUGACAUCACAAAGGGGCCCAUGGCACAUGGGAGAGACUGCACUGUGACAUUUCGUGGCUCUGCUCCACUGGGAAUACAGACGGCCACUGCAAAAAAAUCACAAAGGCAAAGGCACAUACUGAGGGAUAACCUCAGAGUGCAACAUUCUGACCAAAGGUCCCCUCUCAGGUUCCUUUGUACUGACCUCUUACUGCAAGGACCUCCUUCCCAUUCUGCUGACGCUUGGAGGGUUGUGUACCACUGGGAAAAAAAAACAAAUGAUAAGGGAUGUGCUUAGAUUCACCAAUGAUACAGCCCGCCAGAAUUAACGUCUGCUUCAGACUGGCAGGAAAAUGCUCACCUUGCUCGUCUGCCCUCCGGUGCCUAUAGCCCGCCCCACCGCUUGCAUCCCACCUUGAAAGAGAGAACAAAAAGACACUCACAAGAAUGACCUUUGAAGAGCAGUGCCUGUCAGAACAAUCUUAUGUGGGUGAUAUUCUCUGCUCUGACCUGCAAACCCUAGUGCUGGGGUCGAAACUAAGACUCUCUGCUUCCCUCUCCUAAGGGAUUUGUUUUUAGACAUCUCUUUCCCUUAUGCUCAUUUCAAAAGCCCUCCUGGCAAUUCCCAAGCCUGUACCUGGCUCUCAUCCCCUCUCUGGCUCAGAGCCCUCGACUUAUCUUUCAGAGAGCUGGGCCUGUCAAUUCAUCUUCCAAAAGCAUGGCCCUUCGGCUGGCUCAGAGGUUCCUGCAGUUGCACCAGGCCCUGCCCAAGACCCUCCUAUCAGGGUCUGGGCCCUGGAGGCAGGGGGAGAACCCCCCUGCGGCUUGGCCAUUCUUCCCCAGCCCUUGUCUGGCCCAGCCUCCUCCCCCCUGCACACUCCCCACUGCCACAGCCUGCGCUGGGGCAGCAUUUCCUUCUUGGGCCCUUUAGAGCUGCCCCCAUGGGGACACUUCCAUCUUCUGGGCCAAGCACCAGAGCCAAUCCCAGCCAGUCCCAUCGUCCCCAGUCCGACUCCCUGACUCCUGGUGGCCCCUGGAAGCCAAGAGCCAAAGGCCGACCCCCCCAGAGUGCAACCCCACCCAUCUGCACUGGGGCCCCAGGGGUUCCCUUUACCAAACAGCCCCUGCAAACCCUUGUCAGAGAGAAAAUUGGGUGACUCCUGGAUGCUUUUAGUAAAGAGGUCUAAACAUUUCUUGAAUAA
Pseudopipra pipra is the source of this 3293-nucleotide long non-coding RNA. RefSeq lists it as uncharacterized. Lineage: Eukaryota; Metazoa; Chordata; Aves; Passeriformes; Pipridae. The record is from RefSeq and is a predicted model, not a curated record. The transcript has 2 exons.